CAUUCGUGAUGGGGAUCGGGGAUUGCAAUUAUUCCCCAUGAACGAGGAAUUCCCAGUAAGUGCGGGUCAUAAGCUUGCGUUGAUUAAGUCCCUGCCCUUUGUACACACCGCCCGUCGCUACUACCGAUUGGAUGGUUUAGUGAGGCCCUCGGAUCGGCCCCGCCGGGGUCGGCCCACGGCCCUGGCGGAGCGCUGAGAAGACGGUCGAACUUGACUAUCUAGAGGAAGUAAAAGUCGUAACAAGGUAACC
RNAcentral lists this ribosomal RNA (250 nucleotides) under uncultured bacterium. Its description in RNAcentral is "partial 16S ribosomal RNA". It matches the Rfam family "Eukaryotic small subunit ribosomal RNA", at positions 1562 to 1804 of the family's 1831-position model. The record is from RNAcentral.